AUGAAGAAAUGCUUUGGAUUCAGGAUACUUAUGUUUAGUGUCAUCCUCUUCAAUCUCAAGGGAAGGCUGUCAAGGUUUUAUCCAGCCUCUGGUGGUGUUAUUCAUGUGCGGAUCCAGGAUAGCUAUUGGUAUCAAGCUUCAAUUUUCAUGUCUGGUAUGACCUUUCUGUCAUCAUCCAUUUUAGGAGUUGCUCGUUGUGCGAUGCUGGAGCCUUCUUCAGUUAGUGUUGAUUUUUUUGGGUUAUUAGUUAUUGUAACUACUUUGUAG
Vicia faba (fava bean) is the source of this 267-nucleotide non-coding RNA. The record is from the annotation of a GenBank genome assembly. Lineage: Eukaryota; Viridiplantae; Streptophyta; Magnoliopsida; Fabales; Fabaceae.